Molecule: long non-coding RNA, 1770 nt
Organism: Conger conger (European conger)
Lineage: Eukaryota; Metazoa; Chordata; Actinopteri; Anguilliformes; Congridae
Exons: 3
Source: RefSeq, a predicted model, not a curated record
CUCCUCCUCCCGCCCUUUGACCUCCACCCUCCGGAGACGUGACCCUGCGGAGCGACAGGAGAGGGUCCCUCCUCGCCGACGCCUCAGAGAGCCUCCGCCUCGCGCCGGGACCUUGCACUUUUUCUUCCCCCUUUUUCUUCUUCCGUCAAAUUACCGAACGCACUCGGGAAAAGAAACAAAAACCUUUACCAGGGAACGCGAAAGCGGAAGGCUUUGGGUGCAAAAAAAAAAAAAAAAGGAAAAAAAGAAAAAAAAGAAAGCGUCUGCCUUGAACGGCCGACGUAAAGAGUGAAGGAUCUACCCUUUUUUCCUCCAGCCUUAUUUACUUUGUCGGCAUGCCUCCUCUUCAACUUUCUGCGUCCGUCACCAACCCCCCCCCUCCUGUCUUGAAAAAGUUUGCGGCUUGGGGGGAAACUUAAUUGUCUUUACUGCGCCACUGCGGAGCUGCACUGCAACCGCUUGAGCGGGAAGCGGGCGGGACGGUCUCUUCGGCCAGCGCUGCACCUGGGCUGAGCCAGUUGAAAGGGAACAAAAGAAAAAGGAAGGUACAGUGUGGCACCUCGGCUCUCGGCUACAGACCAGGGCCGUCUUCACGGCAGGUACACUCUGAGCACGUGCAAGAACAAAAGUGCCACUGAUGUUCAACCGAACGCUUUCUCCCGCUGAUGUGUCUGUUUUGGGACAAAGUUUGGGGACUAACACAGCGCGAGCAGGAAUGCUGGACAGAGGUCCUGGAAUGGGAAAAUGUUGAAAUGGCUGGAUGGAGACAGCGGAAUUACAACUGGACGGACACCGUUUCCUUCCGAUAAUGUGCCCAAGAUGCGUUACACAGAGAGGGGCGGGACCAGUCGACUACUUCCUAUGAGGAGACCAUAAAGAGAAAACUCCAGGCCUCUGACGCCUGGUCCUCACAAAAAAAAGGAAACACGAGGAAGGCAAAGUAAACAGAUUCUGCUGCCAAGACAUACCACCAUGAAGGUGUGUAAUAUACACACACACAGACAGAAAAACUAGGAUUGCUGAGAACUUGGGACUACAGAAAGACCAUGAUUGGUCUCGUUUCGUGCCUCUUUUUGCCCUAUCCCUCACACUGGCGCAUGCCUGCACACGUGAAAGCCCCUCUGCUGGCAAACGCACACGGGCCGGUGGUGCGGCGUGCCUGUACGGCUAUGUACAGUUACCUUUGUGCUCCUGUAAGUUAGUUUCAUUCUUCCACAUCCCACUCCUCCAUGCUUGCUUCUCCAUAAGAACUUCUGCAUCCCCCUCAGCAGGAGGGGGUUCUGCACUUGGGCCCUGUGACCCCAGCCACACUCCUCUAAGUUCACCUGCAGGGGGUGCCAUUCGCUGGGUGUCAACACACUGCAAGUUACACCGAGGGCGCCUCUCACUGCAGUUGCCACGGUAUGCAGCAGACUCACUUGCAGCGCUUGCUUGACGUCAUACAAUUUAGGCUAGAUGAAGAGCAGCACUGAGGAUAUGCCAAAUUACAAUCAGCGGACUAAAUGCUGAGCCUCACUCAUUCAUAUUCAUAGGCAAAAGAACAAAGGGACACCAAUGUAUUCAAAAAGCAUCAACAUAAUUCACAAACUAUAAACCUCUUUUAUUAACCCCGUUUCUCGUUUUUAAACACCUAGGCGGUAAUGAAUCGUCUUGGGUCAAGGGAAUUUGGACGGAGGUUGUGGCAGGGGCGCACUCUGAAGUGGAACAAAAACACAUACGAGGCGAGUCCUUUUGAUCAGCCUCAUUCCCUAACAAGCAUGGCACCGGAAU